CAGUCGCCGCGGGAAUACGUAGGUGGCAGGCGUUGUCCGGUAUUAUUGGGCGUAAAGCGUGCGCAGGCGGUUUUGUAAGACAGGCGUGAAAUCCCCGGGCUCAACCUGGGAAUGGCGCUUGUGACUGCAAAGCUAGAGUGCGGCAGAGGGGGAUGGAAUUCCGCGUGUAGCAGUGAAAUGCGUAGAUAUGCGGAGGAACACCGAUGGCGAAGGCAAUCCCCUGGGCCUGCACUGACGCUCAUGCACGAAAGCGUGGGGAGCAAACAGGAUUAGAUACCCCCGUAGUCCCUGUCUCUUAUAC
Molecule: ribosomal RNA, 301 nt
Filed under: uncultured bacterium
Lineage: Bacteria
Description: partial 16S ribosomal RNA
Rfam family: Bacterial small subunit ribosomal RNA
Source: RNAcentral